CUUCGAGGUUAGUGGCGGACGGGCUGAAGUAACGCGUGGGAAUCUGCCCUCAGGAGGGGGAUAACGGCUGGAAACGGCCGCUAAUACCCCAUAUGCCGAGAGGUGAAAUGAGUUUCGCCUGAGGAUGAGCCCGCGUCUGAUUAGCUUGUUGGUGAGGUAAUGGCUCACCAAGGCUUCGAUCAGUAGCUGGUCUGAGAGGAUGAUCAGCCACACUGGGACUGAGACACGGCCCAGACUCCUACGGGAGGCAGCAGUGGGGAAUUUUCCGCAAUGGGCGAAAGCCUGACGGAGCAACGCCGCGUGAGGGAUGAAGGCCUCUGGGCUGUAAACCCCUUUUCUCAAGGAAGAAGAUCUGACGGUACUUGAGGAAUAAGCCACGGCUAAUUCCGUGCCAGCAGCCGCGGUAAUACGGGAGUGGCAAGCGUUAUCCGGAAUUAUUGGGCGUAAAGCGUCCGCAGGCGGCCUUUCAAGUCUGCUGUUAAAACGUGGAGCUUAACUCCAUCAAGGCAGUGGAAACUGUUGGGCUUGAGUGUGGUAGGGGCAGAGGGAAUUCCCGGUGUAGCGGUGAAAUGCGUAGAUAUCGGGAAGAACACCAGUGGCGAAGGCGCUCUGCUGGGCCAUAACUGACGCUCAUGGACGAAAGCCAGGGGAGCGAAAGGGAUUAGAUACCCCUGUAGUCCUGGCCGUAAACGAUGAACACUAGGUGUCGGGGGAAUCGACCCCCUCGGUGUCGUAGCCAACGCGUUAAGUGUUCCGCCUGGGGAGUACGCACGCAAGUGUGAAACUCAAAGGAAUUGACGGGGGCCCGCACAAGCGGUGGAGUAUGUGGUUUAAUUCGAUGCAACGCGAAGAACCUUACCAGGUUUUGACAUCCUGCGA
Molecule: ribosomal RNA, 879 nt
Filed under: uncultured Synechococcus sp.
Lineage: Bacteria; Bacillati; Cyanobacteriota; Cyanophyceae; Synechococcales; Synechococcaceae
Description: bacterial SSU rRNA
Rfam family: Bacterial small subunit ribosomal RNA
Source: RNAcentral